This 76-nucleotide transfer RNA is filed under the name Mesorhizobium sp. Its description in RNAcentral is "tRNA-Val". It matches the Rfam family "tRNA". Rfam says of the family: Transfer RNA (tRNA) molecules are approximately 80 nucleotides in length. The record is from RNAcentral. Lineage: Bacteria; Pseudomonadati; Pseudomonadota; Alphaproteobacteria; Hyphomicrobiales; Phyllobacteriaceae.
GGGCGAUUAGCUCAGUCGGUAGAGCGCUUCGUUUACACCGAAGAUGUCGGCGGUUCGAGUCCGUCAUCGCCCACCA